Molecule: ribosomal RNA, 567 nt
Filed under: uncultured Actinobacillus sp.
Lineage: Bacteria; Pseudomonadati; Pseudomonadota; Gammaproteobacteria; Pasteurellales; Pasteurellaceae
Description: bacterial SSU rRNA
Rfam family: Bacterial small subunit ribosomal RNA
Source: RNAcentral
CGGACGGGUGAGUAAUGCUUGGGAAUCUGGCUUAUGGAGGGGGAUAACUACGGGAAACUGUAGCUAAUACCGCGUAGUAUCGGAAGAUGAAAGUGUGGGACCGCAAGGCCACAUGCCAUAAGAUGAGCCCAAGUGGGAUUAGGUAGUUGGUUAGGUAAAGGCUGACCAAGCCGACGAUCUCUAGCUGGUCUGAGAGGAUGACCAGCCACACUGGAACUGAGACACGGUCCAGACUCCUACGGGAGGCAGCAGUGGGGAAUGUUGCACAAUGGGGGGAACCCUGAUGCAGCCAUGCCGCGUGAAUGAAGAAGGCCUUCGGGUUGUAAAGUUCUUUCGGUGAUGAGGAAGGUGUUUGUUUUAAUAGAACAAGCAAUUGACGUUAGUCACAGAAGAAGCACCGGCUAACUCCGUGCCAGCAGCCGCGGUAAUACGGAGGGUGCGAGCGUUAAUCGGAAUAACUGGGCGUAAAGGGCACGCAGGCGGUGACUUAAGUGAGAUGUGAAAGCCCCGAGCUUAACUUGGGAAUUGCAUUUCAUACUGGGUCGCUAGAGUACUUUAAGGAGGGGU